This is a non-coding RNA of Taeniopygia guttata (zebra finch), 2401 nucleotides long. The record is from RefSeq and is a predicted model, not a curated record. NCBI's taxonomy places the organism in Eukaryota, Metazoa, Chordata, Aves, Passeriformes, Estrildidae.
AAGAUACAAAUCCCUGUCCCACUCCCUUUCCCGGUGAGAAUACAGUGAAAAGGUAGAAAAACAUGAGAGAUACAUUAUUCUCAGUAGUAUUUGGCUAGAGAGGGUUCAUGUCAUUACUGGCCCAGCUGGGGAUGGACGGUGCCAUCCCUGCCUCCACUUUAAAUACUGUUGGGUUCCACUUUGGGUGCUCCCCAGGUAUCCCGUUAAAAGCCUGAAGAUACCAGCAUAGGGAAGAUGGAUGUUUCACCCCAGAUGGAUAAUUUUUCCAGGAAACAUCUUUGUCAGGUUAAAAUUGGGUUGAUGUUGCUAUGGCUUCCUCCCUUAGCAGGUAUUUUCAUAUGUUACCUGCAGCUGGUGGCACAGCGGGCAUUCAUGGAAAACUGGGAGGUUUGACAGGUCAGUGUUCAGGGUUUGGUUCUGUAGCCAGCAGCCACCCAGCUGGCCUGAGUACUGAAACAGAGCUGGCACAACAGGGCUGGGAAGGGAGAGUCUCUUGUACCUGUAUUGUCUCCACAGAGGUUGUUUGAGAGUUAAACCAAACCAGGGAGUUUAAACUAGGACAGGUUGCCCACUGUAGACAGAGAUAGGUUUCAUAGAAAGAAAUAAUGCUUUGGGUUGAAAGGGAACUUUGAAGAUAAGCUAAUUUCAAAUCCCCGAUCUAAUCUAAAUCUGCCCUUGCAGUUUAAAACCAUUGCCCCUUGUCCUGUCACUACAGGUCUUGUAAACAGCCCCUCUCCAUCUUUCUUGUAGCCCUCCUUUAAGUACUGAAAGGUUGCAAUAAGGUAUCCCCAGAGCCUUCUGCUCUCCAGGCUGACCAACCCCAACUACCUCAGCCCCACAGGAAAGGUGCUCCAUGUCUCUGAUCAUUUUCAUGGUCCCCCUCUGGACUCAUUCCAACAGGUCCAUGUCCUUCCCGUGCUGAGAACGCCAGACCUGGAUAGAGCACUGCAGGCUUUGUCACUCAGAAGCCCACCAGGCCCAGAGAACAACAACCUUGACCAGCAGUGCCCAGAAAGCAACAAGAAGUCAUUGGGGCAGUCCACAAUAUUGUAUGAUUACUCAGAGGAGGAGCUCAUGGCCAGCAUCGAGCGGGAGUACUGCCGCUGAGUCCAGGUCCCCACCACGAGAACGGCAGGCACGAUGCUGGAAGCCCAGCUGAGCAGAACUGCUGGAUCCUGGAAGCCCAGCUGAGCAGAACUGCUGGAUCCUGGAAGCCCAGCUGAGCAGAACUGCUGCUGCCACCACAACGUCCCGCUGUGUGAGACUGCACGGCAGAGGUGGCUGGUGGAGGGGACUGGAGCAGGAGGGGCAGCGUGGCUGCUUGGGAAGCACAGAGGAGAAAGUUCACCUGGUCAGCUCCCAGUGAGAGCAGGAAGAUCCUCACCAGCUGCUGAUUUCUGAUUGGUACCACUUGGAAGAGGGACAAAUUCAUCUUAAGAAUCAAUAUUUAGAAGCUCAUUUCUAAAUGCGAUUUUUAAAUGAACAUGUAGUAGAAUUAAGUGCCAUACUAGAGGUGUUGAAAUGUGGCACUUUCAAGGAAGAUCUUGCUUUGAAUUUAGUAAAAAAAAAAUGCAGCAAUAUAAUCUGAUCCAGAAUUUAAGGGGAUGUUGCAUGAAAUUCACCAUUCUGCCACUUAAAAUGUGCCGAACUGUGCUUGUGCAAGUCUCAGGUCCAGGUCUGAAUUUGGCAUUGUCUCUUUCAAUCUGGUCCCCAGUAUGGGAGGUAGGAGGAAAAGGGGAUUGAGCCCACCAUCUAGUGCAUAGGCAGUGUAAUCCCAGAGUUCAAAUCCCGCCAUCCUGCCGCCAGAUUAGGUUCCUGGGAGCCAUCAGAGAACACAGGAUUUGUACGAUCCCUUUGGGAUAGGGUCCCAGCCUAGGUCUCCUACCUGGGGCUCCUGGGUGUGGAUCCAUCCCAGUGAUUGGAGUGAAAACAGGAGGCACAUCCCCAUUUCAGUCAUCCUCCUCAAGAGGUAUUUGCAUGCUCUUGUAGAGCAGCUGUUUGGGAUCAGUUUUCGUAAUUGCUACUCCUGGUCUUUCCCAAAUAUUUCUUGUCUUACAAGAAAAAUCACUGCAUUUUACCAUUAGCUGACUGCAAAGUAACCAGAAAGUUCUGUCCCCUAAGGAAAUAGUAUUUUCAGUGCUCCCAGACAGGGAAACCUGGUAUUUUGGGUUUCUGCUUUUAUUAUAUCUGCAUGUUAACAUAUUAUGAGUAUUUGCUUAUUCAGAAGUAGAAAAGUACUUUAUGCUUCACCUUCAGCUGAAGCAUAAAAGGCAUCGGAUGAAAUUUUCACUACAUGUAAAUGCAAGAAAAAAUUGCAGGACACCUCUUAAGAUGCUGUAUUUUAAGUACUUUAUGAUUCCUGGGACCUGUGAAACAGAAAUAAAUGCAUCUAUACUCUGAA